UUCACAUUGUAAGUCAUUCUAGCAUUUCCCACAUUCAUAUUGAUAUUAAUGAAUAUAGCUAGAUAUAUAUGUCUAGAUUCAUUAACAUCAAUCUAGCUAGAUUCAUUAACAUCAAUAUGAAUGUGGGAAAUGCUAGAAUGACUUACAUUG
RNAcentral lists this unclassified non-coding RNA (150 nucleotides) under Oryza sativa (Asian cultivated rice). RNAcentral's name for it is "partial microRNA MIR472a-32 precursor". The record is from RNAcentral. Lineage: Eukaryota; Viridiplantae; Streptophyta; Magnoliopsida; Poales; Poaceae.